UACGUAGGAGGCAAGCGUUGUCCGGAAUUACUGGGCGUAAAGAGCGUGUAGGCGGUAUGGCAAGUGGAAGGUGAAAUCCCUCGGCUUAACCGAGGAACUGCCCUCCAAACUGCUUUACUUGAGGCCGGGAGAGGUGAGUGGAAUUCCCAGUGUAGCGGUGAAAUGCGUAGAUAUUGGGAGGAACACCAGUGGCGAAGGCGGCGUCCUGGCCUGCUACUGACGCUGUGGCGCGAAAGCUAGGGGAGCGAACGGG
RNAcentral lists this ribosomal RNA (253 nucleotides) under uncultured bacterium. Its description in RNAcentral is "partial 16S ribosomal RNA". It matches the Rfam family "Bacterial small subunit ribosomal RNA", at positions 524 to 776 of the family's 1533-position model. The record is from RNAcentral.